Molecule: long non-coding RNA, 1872 nt
Organism: Pangasianodon hypophthalmus (striped catfish)
Lineage: Eukaryota; Metazoa; Chordata; Actinopteri; Siluriformes; Pangasiidae
Exons: 2
Source: RefSeq, a predicted model, not a curated record
UUCAGCAACACUGGAGCUGUGCUGCGGGCUUCAUAAACAUUACACACACACACAGAGAGAGAGACAGAGACAGAGAGAGAGAGAGAAAGCGCAUUAAAAUGCUGCAGACGUCUACUCCAGAACAGAGGCGCGCGCUCCGGAAACCGACAGGCCCACUGACGUCAGCGGGGGUCCCGUCUCCGCCUCCCGACCGGAGGAAGUGCAGCCAGGGGGGUUCGCGACUGACGUCAGAGAAAGUCCUCGUUCUCGUAGUUUUUUUGGUCAUUCACGCGUCAGUGCUUAGAUUUGUAGAGUAGUGUGUGCUGUGACGCAGGACAUGAGCGGCGCUGCCAGCAGUGUGAUCUGUGAGCGGCUAGAGAGUGUCGCUGCUCGCGCUCCCCCCUGGCACUGGCCCCUCCUGCACAUAGCUCAGGACUGGCGGUUUUCCCGGAGGUUCCUUGUUGUCAGGUCACGUUGUGUCCCUCAACUAGUGCCCGGGCUUUCCCUUCCACACCUCACACAAAACAACAGCCUCCACCACAACCUCCACCACCACAACCACCUGCACCACAAAGUCCAAGCUGCAGCCCAGGCCCAUCUGCUCAUCUGCCCAUCUGCUGGCACUGACUGAUGCUGAAGCAGAUAUGAGCAGGAUCUGAGAAAUUACACAAAAACAUCAGGGGGACUGUUUAAGCAGCCUUUAAAAAAAGUUCAUGCUCAUUGCAAAUUCGAGCUUCACAGGAAUGUACUGGUUUUUCAGCUCUAUUAAGAUUUUAUAGAAAUUUCCACCGGGACAGACAGAUACCUCAAACUGCAGUGACAAAGAAAAGAGAAAAAGAAACCACUAACCAGUCAAUCGAAUCUAAUCCGAAGCGUGUAGGACCUGAUAGAUACACACACACACACACACACACACACACACACUGUACUGUUGUGCAGUGAUAUUACACACACACACACACACACACACACACACACACACUGUACUGUUGUGCAGUGAUAUUACACACACACACACACACACUGUAACGUUGUGCAGUGAUAUUACACACACACACACACACACACACACACACUGUAACGUUGUGCAGUGAUAUUACACACACACACACACUGUAACGUUGUGCAGUGAUAUUACACACACACACACACACACACACACACACUGUAACGUUGUGCAGUGAUAUUACACACACACACACACUGUAACGUUGUGCAGUGAUAUUACACACACACACACACACACACACACUGUAACGUUGUGCAGUGAUAUUACACACACACACACACACACACACACUGUACUGUUGUGCAGUGAUAUUACACACACACACACACACACACACACACUGUAACGUUGUGCAGGGUCAUCGGGUGCUUUAAACUGAGACAUCACGGGAAUCUCGUCUAGCUAUUUGGCCCAUUUUUCAUUUUUUCCCUUAUCAUGUCAUCCUAAGGAUAUACGCCAAAAGUUUAAACCAGAGGUAAAGCUCGAGAACCUUAAGUAAGGUUAGCCAAGCUAGAUCGCUAGUCUUAUAUUUUAGAUAUCAGACUAAAUAACCCACCUAGUUUCCUUUUGGGCUGGGGUUUUGGGUUCUCAUUGUCCAACGUGAGCAGCUUCUUGUUGUGUAAUUUGAUAUCCUAUGUUCUUCCUUGAACUAAACUGAAGUAAACGAAAAUAAACAAUUUUAUUUUCUUAGGAUUUUAAACUUUUUUUAAACAUAUUUGAGAUGCAUCACUGGCAAUGAAGGAGUUAAAACAGUAGUAUAACUGCAACAAGGCAGUGGUGAUUUUUACAGUAAUGUACUGUUAGCAAUAUGUAGUCCUGUAAAAGUACAGUUUUGUACUCUAUUUAAAAUAGCAGUAAAUAGUGCUGUUAUUGUAAACAAAUAU